CAAUAGCGUAUAUUAAAGCUGUUGCGGUUAAAAAGCUCGUAGUUGGAUUUCUGUCAAGGACAACUGGUCCGCCCUCCGGGUGAGCACAUAGUUUGGUCUUGGCACCUUGCUGGAAACUGUUGCUGCGCUUGGUUGUGUGGUGCAGCUUUCAGCACUUUCACUUUGAGGAAAUUGGAGUGUUUCAAGCAGGCACAUGCCUUUGGACACAGUAGCAUGGAAUAAUUAGAUUGGGCUUUUGCUCCAACUUGUUGGUUCCUGGAGCUGAGGUGAGAAUCAAUGGGGAUUGUUGGGGGCAUCCGAAUUUAGCCGUCAGAGGUGAAAUUCUUGGAUCUGCUAAAGACGGACAACUGCGAAAGCGUUUGCCCAGGAUGUUUUCAUUGA
RNAcentral lists this ribosomal RNA (381 nucleotides) under uncultured eukaryote. RNAcentral's name for it is "partial 18S ribosomal RNA". It matches the Rfam family "Eukaryotic small subunit ribosomal RNA", at positions 592 to 976 of the family's 1831-position model. The record is from RNAcentral.